GAGUUUGAUCCUGGCCAGGAUGACCGCUAGCGGCAGGCUUAAUACAUGCAAGUCGAGGGGCACCAUGACUGUAGCAAUACAGUUGAUGGCGACCGGCAAACGGGUGCGGAACACGUACAGAACCUUCCUUCAAGCGGGGAAUAGCCCAGAGAAAUUUGGAUUAAUACCCCAUAGCAUAACGGAGUGGCAUCACUUUGUUAUUAAAGAUUUAUCACUUGAAGAUGGCUGUGCGGCUGAUUAGGUAGUUGGCGGGGUAACGGCCCACCAAGCCUUCGAUCAGUAACUGGUGUGAGAGCACGACCAGUCACACGGGCACUGAGACACGGGCCCGACUCCUACGGGAGGCAGCAGUAAGGAAUAUUGGUCAAUGGACGAAAGUCUGAACCAGCCAUGCCGCGUGGAGGAUGAAGGUCCUCUGGAUUGUAAACUUCUUUUAUAUGGGACGAAAAAAGGCUUUUCUAAGUCGUCUGACGGUACCAUAUGAAUAAGCACCGGCUAACUCCGUGCCAGCAGCGCG
This 517-nucleotide ribosomal RNA is filed under the name uncultured Terrimonas sp. Its description in RNAcentral is "bacterial SSU rRNA". It matches the Rfam family "Bacterial small subunit ribosomal RNA", at positions 9 to 519 of the family's 1533-position model. The record is from RNAcentral. Lineage: Bacteria; Pseudomonadati; Bacteroidota; Chitinophagia; Chitinophagales; Chitinophagaceae.